GACAAUUUAAAAGCAAACACAGUGCAAGCAUGUUAUUACAUUUGUUUGCGCUGGGCAGAACAAAUACAGGGCCUUUUUCUAAUGCCAGAGCUCUUCAGCAGGGCUCUGGGCAUUGAACCAACAUGCUCACUUUCAGAGGGGGCGUGCUUGUCAUUAGUGAUGACAAAACACACCCUCUCUGGCCCCGCCCCCUUCUUGGGGGGCCGCUCUAAUUGAAAAAUGCCCGGGCCUAAUUUUUUUCCCAGUCCGGCCCUGGUCCUGAGGC
This 265-nucleotide long non-coding RNA is filed under the name Pelobates cultripes (western spadefoot toad). Lineage: Eukaryota; Metazoa; Chordata; Amphibia; Anura; Pelobatidae. The record is from RNAcentral.